Phacochoerus africanus (Common warthog) is the source of this 1504-nucleotide long non-coding RNA. RefSeq lists it as uncharacterized. The record is from RefSeq and is a predicted model, not a curated record. The transcript is spliced from 3 exons. Lineage: Eukaryota; Metazoa; Chordata; Mammalia; Artiodactyla; Suidae.
GCAAAAUUAAAUGAAUAAGGUUCAUUUACUUUCAUUGUCCUUAAUCAUUUGGCCUUCCUUUAGGGACAGUCCCUUCUCAGUCUCUCAGUCUAACAUUUCUUACCCCAUCAGAAUUCCUGCCAUCAGAGAAAGCUUGGAAGCUUAGCCACUAUCAGGGUUAAGUGACUGAUAAAACAUGGUUGUCUCCUCCUAAGAGCAUUUACACUUUUUAAAAAAGGGUGAGGCCUUGAGGUUUGGCAUACAGGAACAAAUGAAAAUGAAUCUUAGUCAUCAGGAAGUUUGAGGGAUGGUGGCAUAAGGAAGCAUAGGUUCCCAGUGCUUCUGAUACUUGACACAUCAGGUAAAACAUUGGUUGGUUUAAAUUAGAUUUGCCUCCUUAAAUGGAGGGUUGAUUAAUCAAACUGAAACAGCACCAGCUUAAACCGGCUUUGUCUCCAUAAAUAGGUUGAUUAAUCAAACCUUGAGUUAUUUUACAGAGACAGCACCGAACAUGAGCAACACGGGAACCCAUGUCUCCAGGAUGACCCCAGAACCAAGAAUCUUCAAUGUGCAAACCUAAAGAAUAGAAAUGUUGCCACCACAGCCCUUUAUGAAGCGAAAAGUCUUUCAAUAAGGAAAAUCUGGCUUCCAGUAGCAGGAGUAGCUUACAUGGACUAAUUCAAGACCAGCCAAUCAACUUCUGAAUUUGAAAUUCCACUAACCCCUUAAAUUUCUCCCUGACGCCCGGAUAGAGGAGACAGAGUUGAGAGUCUUGCUUCUGGUCUCCUUGCCAGUUGACCUCACCAUGAAGCUCUUUUCGCAAAAGCUGAUGCCAUAGUAUAGGCUUCUGGUCACCUUGGGCAGCCAGCUCUUGUUCAGUCACAGUGUUGCAUCCUGUGGGACACCUGAGUCACCAGUGAACUGCGUGAAAGAGUUCCUUCGCUUGCUUUUCCAUUUCCUCUCCUUUAAGACUCUCUUCAAUUCAUUUCACCAUUUCACUGAAGCUCUUCUUAUCAAGAUCACUGAUGAAAGGGAUUAAAUUGAGUGUAAGCAGCCUGGAACCAUUUGAAGCCUCAUCCUUUCAGCCGUGGAAGGUGCCAGGUGUCUUGCCUCUAGACUCUGACAUCCUACUGGUGAGGAUAACCAUCCAUAAAUGAGAACCUUUGGCUCUUUGUAGGGCCAUCUACGGACUGAUUGAGUUGGCAGUGACCUGACAAAUAAAUCAGAAUGAUGCAGAGCUAAGAGCACGAGCUUCGGUGACAAAUGGUCUUAGGUGUGAAUUCUGCCACUUAGUGAUGGUGUGAUUGGGAAUUCCAUAAGCGUUUUCUUUCAGGUGGUGAUUAAGCAGCAUAUGAUAAAUGGUUAAUAAUAAUGGUAGUGGAAAUAAUCAUUGUUGUUAAAGCAGCUACCACUAAAUGACUGCUUACUGCACACCAGCCACUGUGCUAGGAGAUCUCAAUCUCUACAGCAGUAGGAAGAAAAGGCUAUUGCCAAUAAAUGUGUACCUAAUCAUUGUCUGCGGCUU